ACGAGCGCUGGCGGCAUGCCUAACACAUGCAAGUCGAACGAGACCUUCGGGUCUAGUGGCGCACGGGUGCGUAACGCGUGGGAAUCUGCCCCUGGGUUCGGAAUAACAGUGAGAAAUUACUGCUAAUACCGGAUGAUGACGUAAGUCCCAAGAUUUAUCUCCCAAGGAUGAGCCCGCGUAAGAUUAGCUAGUUGGUGGGGUAAAGGCCUACCAAGGCUACGAUCUUUAGCUGGUCUGAGAGGAUGAUCAGCCACACUGGGACUGAGACACGGCCCAGACUCCUACGGGAGGCAGCAGUGGGGAAUAUUGGACAAUGGGCGAAAGCCUGAUCCAGCAAUGCCGCGUGAGUGAUGAAGGCCUUAGGGUUGUAAAGCUCUUUUACCAGGGAUGAUAAUGACAGUACCUGGAGAAUAAGCUCCGGCUAACUCCGU
Molecule: ribosomal RNA, 431 nt
Filed under: uncultured bacterium
Lineage: Bacteria
Description: bacterial SSU rRNA
Rfam family: Bacterial small subunit ribosomal RNA
Source: RNAcentral